GGAGGAGCUGCUGCUGCUGCUGCUGCUCUUUCCCAAAUCCACCCCCACCCCCACCCGUAGGCAGAGGGCAAUCGCUUCCUCCACCAAACCCUAGCCCUAGCCAGCCCUCCCCCCAUGGCGGCGCCCAAGCCCAUCUGGGUGCGCCAGGCCGAGGAGGCCAAGCUCAAGUCCGAGGCUGACACCGCCGCCGCCGCCAAGGCCGCCUUCGACGCCACCUUCAGGGCCCUCUCCGCCACCGACGACCCCGACCAGGACCACCGCCCCGCUUCCCCUGCCCAACCCUCCCUGGACGCUGACUCCGAUGACGACGACCACCGCCCCCAUGCCCCUCCCGGUCCACUCGACCCCUCCAGAUCCUCCGCCGCCGGUCCCGGCAUCGCCGGCGGCUCCGCCGGCUCCCCCGCCACCUUCACCGUCCUUGCCAAGGACCGCGACUCGCGCAGGCUCCCCACCGGCGGCGGGCGCCUCCGUGUCCGCGUCUCCCCCGCGGCUGGCGUCGGCGGCGGCGACCUCGACGGUGCAGUCAAGGACAACGGCGACGGCUCCUACGCCGUCACCUACGUCGUUCCCAAGCGCGGCAACUACAUGGUCCAUGUCGACCUCGACGGCUCGCCCGUCAUGGGGAGUCCCUUCCCCGUCUUCUUCAGCGCAUCCAACACCGCCGCCAACGUGACCACGACCUUCCCCACCACGCUCCCGGCUGUCUCCUCCGCCUAUCCCAACAUGGUCAACCAGACCAUGCCCAAUAUGCCAAACUAUGCAGGCUCCCUCUCGGCCUCGGCUGCCUUUCCCGGCCUUAUCGGCCUCAUCCCUGGUGCCUCUACUGGUGCUUCUGGUGGGGUUGUACUGCCUGGUGUUGGCGCCUCGCUUGGGGAGAUAUGCCGGGAGCACAUCAAUGGCAAGUGUACUAAGGUCACGGACUGUAGCAAGCUCAAUCACCCGCCACAACAGCUACUCAUGUCCGUGCUGGCUGCCACUACAUCAGUGGGUGCACUCAGCCAGGCGCCCAUGGCACCAUCUGCUGCUGCCAUGGCAGCCGCUCAGGCCAUCAUGGCUGCCCAGGCACUGCAGGCACAUGCUGCGCAGAUGCAGGCUGAUUCCAAGGCUGGAGGAGGGGAGGCUUCAGGCUCGACAAAUAAAGCUGAUAAAGGUGACACUCUGAAGAAAAUGGUUCAGAUUAGCAACCUAAGUCCACUUCUCACGGUGGAUCAUAUUAAGCAGCUAUUUGGGUACUGUGGAAAAGUUGUCGAUUGCACUAUCACAGACUCGAAACAUACUGCUUAUGUAGAGUACUCCAAACCAGAAGAAGCAAGUGCAGCUUUAGCACUCAACAACAUGGAUGUUGGUGGUCGCCCCUUAAAUGUGGAGAUGGCUAAAUCUCUCCCUCCCAAAACUAGUUUGGCAAAUAGCAAUCUGCCCAUGAUGAUGCAGCAAGCUGUUCAGUUGCAACAGAUGCAAUUCCAGCAGGCACUGAUAAUGCAACAGACAAUAGCAGCCCAACAGGCUGCUGCGCGUGCAGCCACCAUGAAAUCUGCCACUGAAGCAGCAGCUGCAAGGGCAGCUGAGAUAAGCAGGAAGUUGAAAGCAGAGGGCUUUGGUGGGGAAACUGUUGAAGAGAAGGAUGCUAAAGGGAAGUCAAGGUCGCCAUCACCGUCUGCCCGUAGAUCCAAAUCUCGGUCAAGAUCACCUAUCAAGUAUCGCCGGAGCAGGCGGUCUAGAUCAUACUCUCCCCCAGUUAGACACACACGUGGGCGCCGAUCACGUUCACCAUCAAGAUCUUACCACUCAAAGUAUGGUAAUGAUCGAUCUCAUCGGGAUGAUAGGGACAAGUAUAGCAGGUCUGGGAGAAGAGAGAGCGACCGAUCUCAUGACCAUUAUUCAUCUAGCUCAAGAAGAAACAGAAGCAGGAGUAUAAGUCCAAGGUAUAAGAAGUCCUCCAGAUCUGAUUCUCGGUCACCCAAGCGACAGAGAGAAGAAAGUUUAAGCCCAUCAAAAUCACGGAGGUCAGCUCGAGCUGGUUCAAGGUCACCCAAACAUCACAAAGGAAGCAAAUUAUCACCAGCUCGUGACCACCAUUCUUCUCGUCGUAGUAGGCAUUCUAGAUCCAGAUCUCAAGAGAAGAAUCGCAACAGUGACAAGAAAGACGGCAAAAAAAAUGAAAUGGAGGAUAACAGAAGGAGAUCUGAUAGAGGUAAUAGAGGUGACAAAGAUGAAAAGUAUAUAAAGGAUCCACUUGAAGAUAAGAAAGUAGAUGCAUCUUCUGUUGCUCACAAGAGGAGUUCAUCCGCAUCAGAAGAUGAUAUGGUGAAUAGUAAUUCCAAGAAAUCCAAACAUGAUGAUGCUUUGGAGCAUGACGAGAGGAAAGAUGAGCAUAUUGAGGAUGAUAUAAGAGAUUUGGAUUCUGCAGGAUCAAAAUCUGAUAAGAGAAGCUUAGGAAAUGGUGAUCAUGAAAAACAAAACCAUGAUACAAAUAGGAAACCAGACAACAAGAAUCAUGACAGGGAUGAUUCUUCUCGUAAGGACAGAAAAUACAGAGAGGAUGAAUCAAGACAUUCUAGAGAUAGACGCUCCCAUCAUUCAUCUUCAAGAUCCCAUAGAAGUUCAAGGCAUUCAAGGGAAAAGUAUCAUGCUGAUACUACUGAUCAGCAUAAAUCAAAGAAAUCACAAGAGGGUUCCAAGUCUAGGAAGAAUGAUCAUCUCCUUGAUGAUUCCUUCUAUUCGGAUAGAAGGAAAGUUCAGAGUGAGGACUCCCCUCGUAGGAAGCAUAAAGUGUCAGCAGCUAGUUCAGAUGUUCAUGGCAUCAACCAUGAUACUGAACCUAAGCUGCAAAAUGAUUUCUCAGAAGCUGAUCAGGAUAUCCAGGAAGCCCAGCCAGUGGUUCAUGAAACUAAUGUGUCUUCCGCAGAAUUUUCAUUGCCUGCACCACUCCUUGAGGACCCAUUUCCCGCACAAGAAGGCAAAAAAGAUCCACAUUCUACUGUUGCUGACCUUAGUGGGCAACAUGCACCUGAAGCUGAUGAUGCAUUUGUGGGCACUGAAGAGUCUGCUAUAUGAUAUUAGCCACAAUGUUUACUUGAUGGCUGAUAUAUCAUUCAGUUGGCUGAUCACAGAAUCUACUUGAUCAAUGGAUGCAGAUAGAUGAAUUGGUGCUUGUUAUCUUCCUUUCUGAUUUAGGAGUUUUAUUUGCAGGAUAUGAAGAACAUGGAGAACUUGAGUGCUGACCGGAGUGUUCAUCUGAUCUUUAAAAAUGUACUCGUUAACUCUCUAGAUGGAGAUUUUUUCUGUGGAGUAAACUUCUAGAUGUAAUGUUGGAGCUUGUGAGGUGAUUUAGUAAGUGAGGUCAAACCAACCAUAUAUUUGUCGUUGCAGGCUUGUGGUUCCUUGAAGAGUUGGAGCUCAUUCUGGGAUGUUAUUUGAAGAUACCAAGGAAGUUCACACCUUUCCAUACAAGGUCCACCCAGAGGCUAAUGUAAGUGACUGAUGAGGCAAUUGUUGAUAAAAGUCCGAGCAACCUUUUACCCUUGAUAGUUCCAGAGAUAAGCAACACAUCUUUGAAAGUUUUUCAAAGGCGGUUGCUGUUGGAGUAUAUCUGGUUUGAGGGGAGCCAGCUAAGUCUAAGAGCUGCCUGCCUGUAGAAGAGGUAAGGGUUUAAGAUGUGCUCUUCAUAAGAUUUUAGCACCCACAGAUUAUUACCUCGGUGUUGGCAUUUUGAUCUUGCAAUGGGGCUGUGCUUCUGCGUAUGUCAUAUACUCUCCAUCAUUUAUUGUAUUGGGUUACUGUGAUGUUAGAAUCUUGAUGUUUGUUUUACUGCAGAAACAGAUGCAAAUGCGUGCGGCAUAUCAGCAGUAAAACAAAUGCUGAUAUGCCGCUCGCAUUUGCAUCUGUUUUCCAUGCAUGUUUUUUGUGUGUUUGGUUGUCUUUAUUUAGGAGCGGAGUUGGUAUUGGGUGGUCAAUCAAUGGAGAUGUCAAGUUGUGUCGGAUGGCAGGACAACGGUGGUUCGGUCCCAGAGUAUUGGGUGGUCAAUUAGUAGUAGAAAGUAUUGAUGUUAAGCUCAACUCGGUAUAUGUUUGGAUCAACUGAAUCUAUUGCAAAAGGACUUGGGCAUUCGGAGAUGCUUGAAGUUGUAGCUGGUUUAGCAUAUUUUACUAAAAAACAUGAGCUAUUGGAUCUAGUUUCCCUUCAACUGUUGAUGACUGCUGCUACUAGUGUUUGGCAGUAUCAGCGGCGUCCGGUAUAGCAGGGGGUGCAUUAUUGUAUUUGUAGGCAAUCCAGUUGAGCAUGCGUGCUGCUUGUGGAUCUAGCCAGAAAUCCGUGACUGCGAAAAAGGUGGAGAAAACAGCGCAGGAGUGAGGGGAAAACAUAUCCUGCAUUUGCUUUCGUUCGCAUGAGUUGCCUGCCCUGAUUUCAUGUCAUGUUUGCCAUUUUGCUAUUAACAAGGCACAAAGACGUCGAAGACAGCGAUAUCAAUCUUUAUUCCUUCUGUCGUUCGUACACCUUGUUUGGCUCCAUCCAAAACUCUCUUUUUUCAAUCAUGCUAAAAAGGGUGUAAGGGCAUUUUUAUGAUGAAGACUAGUAAUAUAAAUACGUUG
Oryza brachyantha (malo sina) is the source of this 4590-nucleotide RNA transcript. It is a transcript of the gene named serine/arginine repetitive matrix protein 5, with no coding region annotated. The transcript has 5 exons. The record is from RefSeq and is a predicted model, not a curated record. NCBI's taxonomy places the organism in Eukaryota, Viridiplantae, Streptophyta, Magnoliopsida, Poales, Poaceae.